GGGGAUGUAGCUCAAAUGGUAGAGCGCUUGCUUUGCAUGCGAGAGGUACUGGGUUUGAUACCCUGUAUCUCCA
Molecule: transfer RNA, 73 nt
Filed under: Nelumbo nucifera (sacred lotus)
Lineage: Eukaryota; Viridiplantae; Streptophyta; Magnoliopsida; Proteales; Nelumbonaceae
Rfam family: tRNA
About the family: Transfer RNA (tRNA) molecules are approximately 80 nucleotides in length. Their secondary structure includes four short double-helical elements and three loops (D, anti-codon, and T loops).
Source: Rfam by way of RNAcentral